Molecule: ribosomal RNA, 468 nt
Filed under: uncultured bacterium
Lineage: Bacteria
Description: partial 16S ribosomal RNA
Rfam family: Bacterial small subunit ribosomal RNA
Source: RNAcentral
GACGAACGCUGGCGGCGUGCUUAACACAUGCAAGUCGAACGGAAAGGCCCUGCUUUUGUGGGGUGCUCGAGUGGCGAACGGGUGAGUAACACGUGAGUAACCUGCCCUUGACUUUGGGAUAACUUCAGGAAACUGGGGCUAAUACCGGAUAGGAGCUCCUGCUGCAUGGUGGGGGUUGGAAAGUUUCGGCGGUUGGGGAUGGACUAGCGGCUUACCAGCUUGUUGGUGGGGUAGUGGCUUACCAAGGCUUUGACGGCUAGCCGGCCUGAGAGGGUGACCGGCCACAAGGGUACUAAGGGAGGGCCCAGACUCCAACGGGAGGCAGCAGUGGGGAAUCUGGCACAGUGGGCGGAAGCCUGAGGCAGCAACGCCGCGUGCGUGAUGACGGCCUUCGGGUUGUAAACCGCUUUCGCCUGUGACGAAGCGUGAGUGACGGUAAUGGGUAAAGAAGCACCGGCUAACUACGUG